CCAGACUCCUACGGGAGGCAGCAGUGGGGAAUAUUGCACAAUGGGGGAAACCCUGAUGCAGCGACGCCGCGUGAGCGAAGAAGUAUUUCGGUAUGUAAAGCUCUAUCAGCAGGGAAGAAAUUGACGGUACCUGAGUAAGAAGCUCCGGCUAAAUACGUGCCAGCAGCCGCGGUAAUACGUAUGGAGCAAGCGUUAUCCGGAUUUACUGGGUGUAAAGGGAGCGUAGGCGGCCUGCCAAGUCUGAUGUGAAAUACCGGGGCUCAACCCCGGGGCUGCAUUGGAAACUGGCAGGCUGGAGUGUCGGAGAGGCAGGCGGAAUUCCUAGUGUAGCGGUGAAAUGCGUAGAGAUCGGGAGGAACACCAGUGGCGAAGGCGGCCUACUGGGCCUUAACUGACGCUGAAGCACGAAAGCGUGGGUAGCAAACAGGAUUAGAUACCCGGGUAGG
This 446-nucleotide ribosomal RNA is filed under the name uncultured bacterium. RNAcentral's name for it is "partial 16S ribosomal RNA". It matches the Rfam family "Bacterial small subunit ribosomal RNA", at positions 331 to 794 of the family's 1533-position model. The record is from RNAcentral.